This is a non-coding RNA of Podospora didyma, 102 nucleotides long. Lineage: Eukaryota; Fungi; Ascomycota; Sordariomycetes; Sordariales; Podosporaceae. The record is from the annotation of a GenBank genome assembly.
GGUUGUAUGGUGUAGUGGUUAGCACUUUGGAUUUUGACUUGCCUCAAAAUGUUUCCAGGAAAUUUCAUUCCAACGACCCCGGUUCGAGCCCGGGUACGACCU